RNAcentral lists this small RNA (76 nucleotides) under Aquipseudomonas alcaligenes. RNAcentral's name for it is "Pseudomonas alcaligenes sX9 sRNA". It matches the Rfam family "Xanthomonas sRNA sX9". The record is from RNAcentral. Lineage: Bacteria; Pseudomonadati; Pseudomonadota; Gammaproteobacteria; Pseudomonadales; Pseudomonadaceae.
AUGUACUACUCGUACACUCCGGUUCCUGCGCUCCGGCCGCCCCGAGCUGACACUCGCUCGCUACGCUUUGAAUUCC